Molecule: ribosomal RNA, 253 nt
Filed under: uncultured bacterium
Lineage: Bacteria
Description: partial 16S ribosomal RNA
Rfam family: Bacterial small subunit ribosomal RNA
Source: RNAcentral
UACGAAGGGGGCUAGCGUUGCUCGGAAUCACUGGGCGUAAAGGGCGCGUAGGCGGGAUGGUAAGUCGGUCGUGAAAUCCCUCGGCUCAACCGAGGAACGUCGAUCGAUACUACCGUUCUUGAGGAUUGCAGAGGAGACUGGAAUUCCCGGUGUAGCGGUGAAAUGUGUAGAGAUCGGGAGGAACACCGGUGGCGAAGGCGGGUCUCUGGGCAAUUCCUGACGCUGAGGCGCGAAAGCGUGGGGAGCAAACAGG